Molecule: ribosomal RNA, 429 nt
Filed under: Bacteroidota bacterium
Lineage: Bacteria; Pseudomonadati; Bacteroidota
Description: Bacteroidetes bacterium partial 16S ribosomal RNA
Rfam family: Bacterial small subunit ribosomal RNA
Source: RNAcentral
UAGGGAAUCUUCCGCAAUGGACGCAAGUCUGACGGAGCAACGCCGCGUGAGUGAAGAAGGAUUUCGGUUCGUAAAACUCUGUUGUUAGAGAAGAACAGCGCAUAGAGUAACUGUUAUGCGUGUGACGGUAUCUAACCAGAAAGCCACGGCUAACUACGUGCCAGCAGCCGCGGUAAUACGUAGGUGGCAAGCGUUGUCCGGAUUUAUUGGGCGUAAAGCGAGCGCAGGCGGUCAAUUAAGUCUGAUGUGAAAGCCCCCGGCUAAAACGGGGAGGGUCAUUGGAAACUGGUUGACUUGAGUGCAGAAGAGGAGAGUGGAAUUCCAUGUGUAGCGGUGAAAUGCGUAGAUAUAUGGAGGAACACCAGGGGCGAAGGCGACUCUCUGGUCUGUAACUGACGCUGAGGCUCGAAAGCGUGGGUAGCAAACAGG